AGAAGAAAGAAAGGCUCACUUGACCAACCAGUAUAUGCAGCAGGGCAGCAGGAAUGAGAGCACUCCCUGCCAAUGCCAUCUUAAAUCAGUUUCAGCCUGCAGCCGGGGGCUACUUUGUGCCUGCAGUUGCACAGGCUCAGGAAGACCUCCUUAUUACACGCCGAACCAGCUAGCACAGAUGAGACCUAAUCCACGCUGGCAGCAAGGUGGGAGACCUCAAGGCUUCCAAGGAAUGCCAAGUGCUGUACGCCAGUCUGGGCCACGUCCAGCUCUUCGUCCAACUGGGUCUGAGUGUCCGGACCGCUUGGCUAUGGACUUUGGUGGGGCUGGUGCCGCCCAGCAAGGGCUGACUGACAGCUGCCAGUCUGGAGGUGUACCCACAGCUGUGCAGAACCUAGCACCUCGGGCUGCCGUAGCUGCUGCGGCUCCUCGGGCUGUGGCACCAUACAAAUAUGCCUCCAAUGUUCGCAGCCCUCAUCCUGUGCUACAGCCUCUACAGCCCCCACAGGCUGCAGUCCAUGUGCAGGCUCAGGAGCCCCUAACUGCCUCAAUGCUGGCUGCAGCACCCCCACAAGAACAGAAGCAGAUGCUGGGAGAACGUCUGUUCCCACUCAUCCAAUCAAUGCAUUCAGCCCUAGCUGGAAAGAUUACAGGGAUGUUGCUGGAGAUAGACAACUCUGAGCUGCUGCACAUGCUAGAGUCACACAAGUCUCUCCGCUCCAAGGUGGAUGAAGCUGUGGCAGUUCUACAGGCUCAUCAUGCCAAGAAAGAAGCUGCCCAGAAGGUGGGUGCUGUUGCUGCUGCUACCUCUUAGACAAGGAAAAACGAUUCAAAAGCCAAAUAACUCCCUUCUGGAUUUCAGCUCAUAUGAAGACUUCCUCGCUUGUCCUAUGGACUUCAACAUCAAGAACUACAAAUUGCAAGUUUAAUAGGUCAUUUUGUAUCAAAAGGUCAAUUAUGAAACAUCUAGAUUUUUCAAUUAUAUAACUAUUGUCUGGAUUCUGCUGUAGCCCAGGAAAUUUUUUUUCUAUUGUGGGUUUUGGUUUUUCCACCCCCCAAAAAGUGAUUUUAUUUGAUGUACCCAAAUCUUAAUAAAAAAGAAAAAUCCAUAAAA
This is an RNA transcript of Elephantulus edwardii (Cape elephant shrew), 1114 nucleotides long. It is a transcript of the gene named poly(A) binding protein, cytoplasmic 4 (inducible form) pseudogene, with no coding region annotated. The transcript has a single exon. The record is from RefSeq and is a predicted model, not a curated record. Lineage: Eukaryota; Metazoa; Chordata; Mammalia; Macroscelidea; Macroscelididae.